AUGGCAACACCAGACUUAAACUUGCUUGUAGAACAGGAUAUACGCUGGGUUAUGCAAGACCUUGUUCACGUUGAUGGGCAUGACAUGGCCGUCAUCGAACCGAAGCCACUGCCCACCGUCACGCUUCGCAUCAGCGGUGUAAUGGCCCCUGGACGGGCCGCUCCCGUGAUGAGUGAUGGUUGCAACAAGCUCGAGAUUAUCACCUCUGAUGAUGGUGAGCUCAGCAGAUCCCGAUUAAGGACCAGUUCAAGAGGGAAGUGGAGUGGCUUGUACAGUUUAGUACACCCACGAUUUCCAUAA
Molecule: ribosomal RNA, 300 nt
Filed under: Triticum aestivum (bread wheat)
Lineage: Eukaryota; Viridiplantae; Streptophyta; Magnoliopsida; Poales; Poaceae
Description: partial small subunit ribosomal RNA
Source: RNAcentral